Molecule: small RNA, 183 nt
Filed under: Gopherus agassizii (Agassiz's desert tortoise)
Lineage: Eukaryota; Metazoa; Chordata; Testudines; Testudinidae
Description: TUC338 (ENSGAGG00000000807.1)
Source: RNAcentral
UUGAUUCUGGUGUCUGAAUGUAAAGCCCUAUAUCUAUCCACAGAACAGGUACUGGCAUGGGCAGCAUCUGUGUAAUCAUCCCCCAUGCUGUCCCACCAACAUGCAUUAUCCUCUACCUGGGCAGGGUCACUUCAAGGGCUGGGAGAAGCAUUCAGUCUCCAUGGCUCAUUCUUUGCUGCAAUU